AGGAAGAUCUGGGUUUGAAUUAUAGUUUGGCUGCUUCCUAGCUGUUUGAUCUUGGACAAAACUUUCAUUCAUUCUAUAUUUUUUGGAGUGUCUACUCCAUGCCAAUCAUGUGUGAAAUGUUGGGAUAACAAAGGCGAAUUCAAUCUGGCUCUCGUCCUCGGAGCUUAAGCAAAUCAUCUGGGGUAGCGUGACCCAUGCUACGAUGGAGGUGGAAUACGGGGCUGCAGGGCGGGGCCACAGGACAUAGUGGGCAGCUUAACCUCCUUGAGCCUCCCUAUCCCUAAUUCACGUGAUGGGGUUUGUAACCACUUCUCACAUCGUUGAGAGAAAAGGGUGAGCCUGACUCAGAGGUGUGGCAAAGGAAGGGCAGGGCAGGCUUUAAGGACAGGGACAGGGCUGUCAGAGGCUGAGGCUAGGGAGGGGCAGGAAGGGGUGUGAGGCAGGGCGGAAGAGAGCAGGGCCCUGGGCAGGUGCUGAGCCAGGUCCUGCAGGUCACCCAGUCGCUUGAGUCCACGAAUGCUGGAGGCAGGCACUGGAGAGCCAGGGUGGUUCAGCCGCAGCUCCUCUGAGCAGGGAGUCAAACAGGGCUGAAACAGACACCAGCUCUCCAGGACCAGCUGGUAAGAGCUUCUCCACUGCCCCCGAGCCCUGACAGGAGGACUCCCACAGUGUGCAUGGAAGCCCAGGGAGCUCGGGGGCUACAGAGGCACCAUUGGCUCUGGAGCCUGCAGCCCAGACAGCCCCCUCCAGAUGUAAUGGGGGAAGGAGCCAGGGACUGGGAGGAAUUCAGAGGUCAGAGGAGGAGCAGUAUCAGGAGAUACUGCCCUCCUGCAACUCCUCCUCCCAGCUGCUCUCCCCUCCUGCUAGUGCCCACAAUGGCUCCCAGCUGCCUCCUAUAAGGAAGCUUUAUUAGCCUGCAGCCUGUACUCCUCCACGCAGCAGAGCUGACAGGACCCCAUUAGUCAGCUUAUUCAACCCUUCCCCUGGUGCACAAACCCUUGCCAAGCUUUUCUGGCAUUUUGCUCAGCCUGCUUGGACCCUCCAAGCAGGUAGGAACUCACUGUUUCACAAAGCAGUGUUAUUAGAAAGGUUUCCCUGACCCUAGCCCCCCACAUCUAAUCUUUCUCAAAUGUGGGCAGACUUGUUCCUGGCCCCUUCUCAUUCCACCAGUGCACACAUGCACAUGCUCCCUCUCUCCAUCCAAGCUCCAGGAAUCAACCUCUACCCUGAACCAGGUCCCUGAGGACCACCACGUGGCUGCAACACAGCAGGUGUGGGGCAGGGCACAAGUGGGCUUAAGGGGGGUAUAAGGGCUGGCAGUUUGCUCAUUGAUUCACUCAACAAACAUGUACUGAGCACCUCUAAAGGGCCAGGGCCUGUGCUAGGCACUGCGGUGCCAUGGUGAGCAAAUCCAGAAAUGGACCCUGCCCUCUAGGAGUUCACAGUCCAGAGGAGAAGCCCGAUGCUGAACAGAGAAUCACAUCCGUGAGCAACACAAAAGGCAAGGCAAACCCUGGGCAGAUGCCCCCGGGACUGUGUGUUAUGGGCCUACAGGAAGCCUCUCCCAAUGAAAAAGCAAUUUUUCAGCCAGAACCUCCACCAGUGUCUUUCAAACUGAGCCUGGACCUGUGGCCUUCCCUGCCUCCACCUGGGCCUCAACCGUCACGACCACCUGGCCUUUGAGAAAUCAAAUGGCUCACGCUGUGUCUCAGAGCUGCAACGAUCCAACGCCCUCCAUCCUUCAGAGGCUGUCUGAGUCCGGGGACACAACUCCCACCCUCCUCUCCUGCCAGCCGCGGCCCGUGGCUGCUCUCUUCACUUCGUCCCGCUUCGCCCCGACUGUGGAUCUACCCGCUCCCUUCUCCCUCAGUCCCCAAAGCACCAGACUCACAGGCCUGCUGUGUGACCCACUUUUACCGACCUUUCGGGGAGAGUAGAGGGCAUUUGUGACUCAGCUCAGAGCAGGAAACACAUCUCACGUCAACUGUCAGACAGCGCUGCUCCGAAUCCCAUCACAGUGCUCCAGCAGGGGGCGUCCUCACCGGCCGCGGCCACAGCCACGGCUCAACCCGGCCUAGCUCCCAGACACCCUCCUUCCACCGCCUGUUUUCCACCGUCCCCGCCUGCUCUUUCAAGCCAGCAGCAAACAACACCCUAAUCCGUGUCUUUAUUAUUCAAAGACCUUAAGCACUCUUUCCCACCUCGUUCCCAUCUUGAUUAUUUCAGGGAAUGAAUUAGGGAUUCACCUUUACAAUCAAAAAAGUUCUCUCAAAGCCAGGCUACUGGAGUUCUAAUUCUGCCUUCCCACUUUUACUAGCUGUGAAAUCUCAGGAAAGUUACUUAACCUCUCUCUGUCUCAUUUUCCUCAUCUUUAAAAAACAGGAUGAUAAUAUUUAGCUCCUAAGAUGGUUGUGAGGAUUUAAGUGAGCUGAUAUAUCCAAGAAUGUCUAGAACAGCGCGUGGCAGAAUGGGCAUUGCAUAUGGGUUUAAUCUUGUAACUGCCAUGUUUCACCAAUUCUAAGGUGUAUCUCGUUUCUCAUCAUAAGAGCUCUUCCGCUCGUGUGGCAGCUGGGAGUGGCCGUCAUUGCCUGCGCAUACCUAAACUUGGUCAGCAGCCAAGUGUUUUGUGAGACCUAAGAAAGGAAGAGCCCCAUAAGUAAAUGGAACUGUUGUGUUGUUUUAUUACCGAGAAAAGGGCAGAAUGAUUGCUAGUCACACGUGAAGCAAGAAAACCCCGGCAAUAAAGCUUGCAGAAUGAGUGGCUGAGGCUUGAAAAUAAAUGGUGGAAACAAUAGUGGACAAUCUUUUAAAGAAUGGCACAUUGCCAAUGCUCCUGAUGGCACAGAAGGUGACACCAUGCAGAAAAUCAAGGCUCUGAGUCAAAGAGGGUUUCAGAAAAAUUGGACUCUGAAUGUGAAGAAAUCUGGGGACUAUUUUAGCCAAUUUGUUUUGCCUAUAAUUUCCUUUUAUGCAUGCAAAAGAGCAAUUCUGAC
This 2993-nucleotide long non-coding RNA is filed under the name Homo sapiens (human). RNAcentral's name for it is "HSALNT0368154". The record is from RNAcentral. Lineage: Eukaryota; Metazoa; Chordata; Mammalia; Primates; Hominidae.